Molecule: ribosomal RNA, 460 nt
Filed under: uncultured bacterium
Lineage: Bacteria
Description: partial 16S ribosomal RNA
Rfam family: Bacterial small subunit ribosomal RNA
Source: RNAcentral
CCUACGGGUGGCAGCAGUGAGGAAUAUUCGUCAAUGGGCGCGAGCCUGAACCAGCCAAGUAGCGUGAAGGAUGACUGCCCUACGGGCUUUAAACUUCUUUUAUAAAGGAAUAAAGUGACGCACGUGUGCCUUUUUGCAUGUACUUUAUGUAUCAGGAUCGGCGAACUACGCGCCAUCCCCCGCGGUACUACGGAGGAUCCGAGUGUUGUCCGGAUUUAUUGGGUUUAACGGGAGCGUAGAUGGGUUGUUAAGUCAGAUGUGAAUGUUUGCGGCUCAACCGUAAAAGUGCAAUUGAUACUGGCAGACUUGAGUACAGAUGAGGUAGGUGGAAUUCGUGGUGUAGCGGUGAAAUGCUUAGAUAUCACGAAGAACACCAAUUGCGAAGGCAGCUUACUGGUCUGCAACUGACAUUGAUGCUCGAAAGUGUGGGUAGCAAACAGGAUUAGAUACCCCUGUAGUC